GACGAACGCUGGCGGCGUGCUUAACACAUGCAAGUCGAACGGAAAGGCCCUGCUUUUGUGGGGUGCUCGAGUGGCGAACGUGUGAGUAACACGUGAGUAACCUGCCCUUGACUUUGGGAUAACUUCAGGAAACUGGGGCUAAUACCGGAUAGGAGCUCCUGCUGCAUGGUGGGGGUUGGAAAGUUUCGGCGGUUGGGGAUGGACUCGCGGCUUAUCAGCUUGUUGGUGGGGUAGUGGCUUACCAAGGCUUUGAAGGGUAGCCGGCCUGAGAGGGUGAACGGCCACAUUGGGACUGAGAUACGGCCCAGACUGCUACGGGAGGCAGCAGUGGGGAAUAUUGCACAAUGGGCGGAAGCCUGAUGCAGCAACGCCGCGUGCGGGAUGACGGCCUUCGGGUUGUAAACCGCUUUCGCCUGUGACGAAGCGUGAGUGACGGUAAUGGGUAAAGAAGCACCGGCUAACUACGUG
Molecule: ribosomal RNA, 468 nt
Filed under: uncultured bacterium
Lineage: Bacteria
Description: partial 16S ribosomal RNA
Rfam family: Bacterial small subunit ribosomal RNA
Source: RNAcentral